AACUGUGGAAAAGUACAUGCAUGAAGUUAAAAUAAAUUUAAGAAAAUUAGAAGGAAUGUCCAGAACAGAAAUAAAGGACAAAGCCAGAAUAUGGGACACAGAGAGGUGGAAAGAAGAGUUGGAAAAUAAAGUGACUGUGAACAUAUAUAAAACGUGGAAAAGAGAAAUAAAAGACGAAGAAAUUUAUGACAACUCUAUGGGUUCAGUCCUUCUCUUCAAAGCCAGAACCAACUCUCUUAAUUUAAAUAUAGCAAAAAGGCACCAGAAGGAGAACACCUGUUGUCCUUUUUGCAAUGAUGCAGUAGAAGACAUAUUUCAUUUCCUUUUAUAUUGUGAUACAUAUAUAGAGGAACGGGUUAAAGCAAUAGGGCUACAACAACCCUAUGAAGAGAAGGAAAGUGACGUAGUGGGAAAAUUUCUAUUUUCAGGUAACAACGAAAUAAGAAAAGAAACCAUAUACUUGAUGUGGAAAAAAAGAGAGAAAAAAAGGAAAGAGCUAAACAAAUAAACAAACAAAAACAAAAAAUACCCAAGACUAAGAGGCGCCGUUGCAAAGGCAUUGCCUCGACCCAUAACUACUACUACUGUGCAAUAAACAGUUUCAUCGCUGUUUUCGGGACUACGAUUCGUGGAGCGAUAAUAUUACCGCCGUAAUGAGUGUAGACAACGACGUUUAUUUGGAAAUGUGCAGUGUGCCUGGCCGUCCCUCGAUAGUACGGUAAAAAAAAAAAGAGAAAAUCUAAUAAAAGGAAAAUCCGUGUCUGCUUGUCAGUGGCCUAGUCCAUACCUAAGCGGUCAAAAGAAGUCAGUAAAGUCUGAUUCAAAUUAUACUAUCACGUCACCAACACGUCACGUCACGGUCCCAUCAGUCGUGCCUUGUAUGCACUACUAGAUUUUAUCAUCAAGAUUAUAUGAAAAACACCACGCGAUAUGGAUUAAAUGUAUAAAAACUAAGGGUUCUUUAAGUAAUUCAGUGGAGAAACACGGGGAGUGUUACUCUUGUGACGUCACAGUAUUAGCUCCGCCCCCACUGCCGAGUUGAGCAGACCCUAUAUACUUUGAAUGGUUAUUAAAAAACAUCAAGCGUGUGACUUCUACAAGUUUUAUCAGAUUUUAUAUAAAAAAAACCAUGCGAUAUGGAUUAAAUGUAUAAAAACUAAGGGUUCUUUAAGUAAUUCAAUGGAGAAGCAUGGGUAGUGUUACCCUUUUGACGUCACAGUAUUAGCUCCGCCCCCACUGCCGAGUUGAGCAGACCCUAUUACUUUUGACUCUGCUACUAUCCAUCACGGUCUCGAAAUUCCCGAUCAAUUCGUGCCUAGCCUCCCAGUAGCUACGUCUAGUAUGGCGCCUCUCAGAUUUAGCGUAAAGGAACUUGCAUUAAUUGCACUUCUUUUAGAUGAAGAGGAGGCCGAGUUGAAACUCAAAGAGAAGCGCAAGAAGAGAUUAUGGGUACAGAAAGCAUUGAGAAAAAGAAAAGAAGAAGGUGAAUACUGGACUCAUUACAAGGAGCUGGAAGACGAUGAGGUUAAGUUCUUUCAGUAUUUUAGAAUGUCAAAAUCUAAAUUCAACUAUCUGCUUGACAAGUAGAGGGAGACCUUCUCAAGAAGAAUACUAAUUUUCGGGAGGCUAUUUCACCGAAAGAAAAACUAGCUGUAUGCUGAAGAUUCUUUGCUACCGGUGAUAGCUUCAGGACUAUCUCACUUAGCUAUCGCUUGGGACAUUCAACAGUUCAUAACAUUGUAAAGGAAGUGUGCACAGCUAUCAUCAAGACUCCAACCUGAAGUUGCCACUGCCUACACAGGAGACCUGGAAGUGCUUCUUCAAUACCUAAGGAGUAAUUUUGGCAUGAAAAAAUUUGGAAUUGUCUCAGGAAAUAUUGUACUAAGCAUGGUGUCAAUCACAUCCCUCUGUAUGCUGGAUGCCCUGUUCUUUCUAAACUGUGGAUGUUUUGUACUUAGAUGAUGGUGAUAGUGAUAAUUGUGAGCCUUUUCCAGUAACAGAUCAUAAUGAGAGUUUUUACUGAACAAGGCAGUGUCAUAAAAGGUGGGGAUAAAGAGGAAAGCUGUGUAAAAAGAAAAAAAAGAAGAAAAUCUCAUUAUUAUACUUACGUAUAGUUCCAGUGAAUCUUCUGAUGAUAAGUGGUUGAAUCCCAAUGAUAGUGAAAGUGGUUCAUAAUACGCAUAAUGAUCCAUCUUGUACCACCAGCAGACCCAUUUGUGUGGCCAUCUCCCCCACCCCCCAUCAGUUUUGAUGCCAGUGCUACCACCUGCAGUGGCUCCCGCUCCGAAUGAUGGGGCCAAGUAUCCAGUACAGAAGGAAAAGGGUUAGUAGACCAGGAACGUGGGCUGCUUAUGUUGCUAAAAGGCAAAAACCUUGGCCUGCCCUACAUAAGCUGUUACGAAAACUGGUCCCCUGUGAGAGGACUAUUUCAGCCAUGAAGGUCAGUCCCCCCUUGCAACUGGAAGAACAAGUGUUUUUCAAAAGUGGGGGAUGAGGCAGUUACUGUGGCCUUUAAGGCAUACUGGGCAGUGGGAGACUACAACUUGCAGACAUCGUUUCUUCAAAGAAAUAUUCGCAGGGAAGCUAUCAAGAGGAAGUGAUCUUAGACUGAAGAAGCAAGAACUGGACAUUGAGCUACUCUGUUACCUUUAAGGGCAAGAAAAUAACAAUCUGCAAGGCUGCUUUCCUCUCCUUUCCGUCCAUGCAAUAACUGCAAUGAGGACCCAAGUUGUUAUGGAAGAGUUGCCUGAGUGAGGAGCAACAGUACAGAACCUGAGUGGUAUGAACCCCCAUACCAGGAAAAUAACAGGGUGUUCCAAAUACAUACCCUGAACUGGCAAUUUUUGGUGUCUCACUUCAGCAUGAGAGCACUUAAUGAGAAAUACCUUGAUUGGUUGGAUAUCAGCCAUCUUGAUCUUGCUGUGGUGUAGUUAAAAUAUUACCACAAGAUUUUUAGUUGUUAUUGUGAGAUCGGUUUCAUCCUAUGAAAAAGGAUGUUGCAACACCUGUUAGCACCUCAUGGAAGCUCUUGUUGAUGGUAGACCGGCCAGAAUAAAUACUCUCACCUUGAAUAAGAACAGGAGGCAUAUUUUGAAAAAAUAUCUAGCUUUCAGUGCUAUGAAGACUGCUAACUCUGUGACAGUGUUUAGAUGUGUCACCAUGGACUUACAGCAGACAUUCUCUAUCUUUGUCUUUCUGUCAGCUCAAAUACAAAUUGUGGUUAUACAGUUUUUGUGUACACAACAUCGAGCAAAAUGAGUCUUAACUGUACGUAUGGGAGGAACAUGUUACAGCCAGUGUCCAAUGAAAUAGAAAGUUCUCUUGUCAGGUGUUUAGGGGACUAUGUACCUGGCAUCCCUGUUGACAACUGUGGAGUUUAUAAUAACAUUCAUGAUCUUUGCAUUACUUUGUGAAGUCUACAUACAGCAUUUUGAUAGAAUCAGUCUGUGCUGUCAAGUGGCAUACAUGGCAUGCGACCACUCUUUCAGUGUUACAGAGCAGAAUAUUAGGAAGUGCAAGAGCUACAAUGAGGAGAUAGCAAGCUCCCAUAAAAAGAGUAGGUUCCCCUUGUACAACAUGAGGAGAAGACUUCCUGGAAUUUGGCAGCUUAAUUAUCACCAAGAGGGCAUUCAACAGGAGUGCAGAGGGCAACCAGUUUGAGAAUGCUGCUCAGGUCAUCUUCAGCUGUAAUCAUUUGGGUUAAGGCGACUGAACUCCACAAAAAAUAAAAAAAGGCAGAAACUUUUCCAUUUUGAACGAUAACAGGAAAUGUUUGCAGGCUCCCAUUCAUAUACAGAGACAGUUAUAAGCAAGUGCAUAUUUUUAUUCUUCUGAUGGGUGGUUAUGUGCCACAGAGUAUAACAUUAUCCUUCCUGAUGAUCUUGAAAACUGUGACAAGAAAGCCAUGCAGCCACACAGAGGCAGUGCCCCAUUCCCCUGCCGACAUGUGUUUUGGCUGUAAUGCAAGCUUGCAUCCCAUUAUUGAUAAAUGGGAGAUUUAAUGACAGUUGUCAGCUGCUUCGGUUCACCUUGGGGGUCCGUACCAGCAAAUGCACCUGUGAGUGAACAUUCAUCUUAAUUGAAGACUGUCAUUAGUGGAACACAGGAACUAGUCUCUUUGCCACAAAAUAAAGCUAUGUUACCACUAGUGAUCAUCAGCCCAGCUAUUCAUCUGCAUACUACAAGUAAUCUCAGCCCAGCAAUGCAUUUGCAUACUACAAGUGAUCAAUCAGCCCAGCUAUACGUCCGGAUUACUUCUGUAGAUGACCCACCAAUUAUGUCCGAGAAAACCAUUUACAUAUAUAAAUUAAGGAUCGUUCUGUUGCUACACUAAUUCAGAAAUGUAAUGUUUAUUUUUUAUUAAAUUGUUCAUUCUA
Molecule: long non-coding RNA, 4376 nt
Organism: Macrobrachium nipponense
Lineage: Eukaryota; Metazoa; Arthropoda; Malacostraca; Decapoda; Palaemonidae
Exons: 6
Source: RefSeq, a predicted model, not a curated record